CCUUGUUGUUAAUAAUCUGUACCACCUACUUAGGAGGCUGAGGUGGGAGGAUCGCUUGAGCCCAGGAGUUCUGGGCUGUAGUGCGCUGUGCCCAUCACGUCUGCACUAAGUUUGGCAUCAGUAUGGUGACCUCUCGGGAGCGGGGGGACCACCAGGUUGCCUAAGGAGGGGUGAAUCAGCCCAGUGGGAAACAGAGCAGGUCAAAAUUCCCAGGCUGAUCAGUAGUGGGAUCGCGCCUAUGAAUAGCCACUGCACUCUAGCCGGAGGAACAUAGUGAGACAUCCGUCACU
Callithrix jacchus (white-tufted-ear marmoset) is the source of this 290-nucleotide unclassified non-coding RNA. It matches the Rfam family "Metazoan signal recognition particle RNA". From Rfam's summary of the family: The signal recognition particle (SRP) is a universally conserved ribonucleoprotein. It is involved in the co-translational targeting of proteins to membranes. The eukaryotic SRP consists of a 300-nucleotide 7S RNA and six proteins: SRPs 72, 68, 54, 19, 14, and 9. Lineage: Eukaryota; Metazoa; Chordata; Mammalia; Primates; Cebidae. The record is from Ensembl.